Molecule: ribosomal RNA, 185 nt
Filed under: uncultured bacterium
Lineage: Bacteria
Description: partial 16S ribosomal RNA
Rfam family: Bacterial small subunit ribosomal RNA
Source: RNAcentral
UAAUACGUAGGGACCGAGCGUUGUCCGGAAUCAUUGGGCGUAAAGAGCGUGUAGGCGGCCUGUUAAGUCUUGCGUGAAAUCUCGGGGCUCAACCCCGAGCGGUCGUGAGAAACUGGCGGGCUAGAGUGUGGGAGAGGAGAGUGGAAUUCCUGGUGUAGCGGUGAAAUGCGCAGAUAUCAGGAAGA